AAAUUGAAGAGUUUGAUCAUGGCUCAGAUUGAACGCUGGCGGCAGGCCUAACACAUGCAAGUCGAACGGUAACAGGAAGAAGCUUGCUUCUUUGCUGACGAGUGGCGGACGGGUGAGUAAUGUCUGGGAAACUGCCUGAUGGAGGGGGAUAACUACUGGAAACGGUAGCUAAUACCGCAUAACGUCGCAAGACCAAAGAGGGGGACCUUCGGGCCUCUUGCCAUCGGAUGUGCCCAGAUGGGAUUAGCUAGUAGGUGGGGUAACGGCUCACCUAGGCGACGAUCCCUAGCUGGUCUGAGAGGAUGAGCAGCCACACUGGAACUGAGACACGGUCCAGACUCCUACGGGAGGCAGCAGUGGGGAAUAUUGCACAAUGGGCG
Molecule: ribosomal RNA, 380 nt
Filed under: Escherichia coli
Lineage: Bacteria; Pseudomonadati; Pseudomonadota; Gammaproteobacteria; Enterobacterales; Enterobacteriaceae
Description: bacterial SSU rRNA
Rfam family: Bacterial small subunit ribosomal RNA
Source: RNAcentral